CGAAUACCUUAUGACCGCACAUUUGUCCGAUUAGGCCUUGUUAUUUUUCCCCCACCGUUUCGUUGCUUCCUCCCCCACCGCAUAAUUCUUCUCUGCUGCCAAUCCAUGAACCACAACACGAAUCCGACCGCCUCUUCUUUCUCCUCCAUUUUCACGGUUCCACCCCAACAUCUUCGAUCCGUAUUCGUGUAGGUCAUUUCAAACGGAUUUCAAGCUGGGUUGCAGAGAUUUGAUUCAAAUUUGUUGAUUUGGGGGAGUGCUGAUAAACUGAUUUUCUGGGAUUUUUGGUCUUUGAAAUGGGUUGGAAAGGCUCGAGAUGUUGGUGUCAAUAGAAAUGUGCUUUCCCCAAAGUUUCAGAUGCUUUGAAGUGUAUCCAAGAUUUGGCAGAGGGUGUGCUUCAGUGUAUCAUUUUGAUAGCGUUUGGUGAUCUUCAGUGAUCAAUGUAGAAGAAAAAGAUUUACAAGACAAUGAGCAUCGUACCAAUAUGUGAAUUAAAGCCUCUUAGAAAUGAUAUGAAAAUCAAAGUUAGAAUAUGUCAGAUGUGGACACCAAAUAUAUUUGGAUGUCAAAACCAGUUCAAUGGCUCACAAUGUGUACUAUUUGAUGAACUGGUUAGAAAACCAUUUUGUUUAAAUGUAAUAUAGUUAAAACUAUAAUUUCAAAAACAAAGACAAAGCUAUAAUUAACUCUUUAUAAUUUUUAUAAUGCAAAAUGAUGCUUGAAGCCUCGGUCUUAGAA
This is a non-coding RNA of Malus domestica (apple), 738 nucleotides long. Lineage: Eukaryota; Viridiplantae; Streptophyta; Magnoliopsida; Rosales; Rosaceae. The record is from RefSeq and is a predicted model, not a curated record.